Molecule: ribosomal RNA, 253 nt
Filed under: uncultured bacterium
Lineage: Bacteria
Description: partial 16S ribosomal RNA
Rfam family: Bacterial small subunit ribosomal RNA
Source: RNAcentral
UACGUAGGGUGCGAGCGUUAAUCGGAAUUACUGGGCGUAAAGCGUGCGCAGGCUGUUUUGUAAGUCAGAUGUGAAAUCCCCGGGCUUAACCUGGGAACUGCGCUUGUUACUGAUAGGCUUGAGUGUGGCAGAGGGGGGUGGAAUUCCACGUGUAGCAGUGAAAUGCGUAGAGAUGUGGAGGAACACCGAUGGCGAAGGCAGCCCCCUGGGCUAACACUGACGCUCAUGCACGAAAGCGUGGGGAGCAAACAGG